UAAUUUUAAUAUUCAUGCCGAUAUAAGUAAAUAUCUGAUAUAAAUACUAAUAUAAAUAAAUGAGAAGAGAAGAAAGAAGAAAAGAAUGCUUUCUUAGAGUAGGAUUUUAGUAAAUGUGGAAGGAAUGAGGGAUAACAAAACUCACCAUUAGACAAACACUUCAGCAAUCACUGCUGCAGACAAGAUCCACUAAGGAAUGCUAAAUUAGUGGUUAAAAAUUUGCUAUGAAACAGAAUUUGCACAGAUUCAAAGUGUCUCACCCAAGAUACAUUUUAGCACAAAGGGAAAGACAGUAACUUUAUAGUGGUGAAACUCAGCAGAAACCACCUUAACCAACCAAUUAAGGUAAACAAUAAGACAUGUUUACGUCCUGAACCCCUUGAUAUUUUGCAUUGAGAAAGACCCAACAUAAUUUCUGUGGUAUUCUUACCAAAAUUCAUAACCACAUUCCAUUCAUGAAAAAACACCACACUAUUUCAAAUUCAGGGACUUACCACAAAAUAAUUGAUCAAUACUCUUCAAAACCAUCAAGGUCAUGAAAGACAAGGAAAGACCCAAGGACCCUUACAGACCUACACACCAAGGAGAAAUAACAAGUAAAUGCAAUGUGGAGUCCUAGGAGGGAACCUGGAACAGAAACUGGACAUCAGUGGAAAAACUUACGACACUUGUAUAAGUUUUUUAAUGUAGUUCGUAGUAUUGUAUCAAUGCUGACUUCCUCGUCUUAGAAAUUGUACUAUUGGCCAGGCGCAGUGGCUCA
Molecule: long non-coding RNA, 760 nt
Filed under: Homo sapiens (human)
Lineage: Eukaryota; Metazoa; Chordata; Mammalia; Primates; Hominidae
Description: non-protein coding lnc-CHP1-6:4
Source: RNAcentral